AGGACGAACGCUGGCGGCGCGCCUAACACAUGCAAGUCGAACGAGCGAGAGAGAGCUUGCUUUCUCGAGCGAGUGGCGAACGGGUGAGUAACGCGUGAGGAACCUGCCUCAAAGAGGGGGGACAACAGUUGGAAACGACUGCUAAUACCGCAUAAGCCCACGGGUCGGCAUCGACCAGAGGGAAAAGGAGCAAUCCGCUUUGAGAUGGCCUCGCGUCCGAUUAGCUGGUUGGUGAGGUUAACGGCCCCACCAAGGCAACGAUCGGUAGCCGGACUGAGAGGUUGAACGGCCACAUUGGGACUGAGACACGGCCCAGACUCCUACGGGAGGCAGCAGUGGGGAAUAUUGCACAAUGGGGGAAACCCUGAUGCAGCGACGCCGCGUGGAGGAAGAAGGUCUUCGGAUUGUAAACUCCUGUUGUUGAGGAAGAUAAUGACGGUACUCAACAAGGAAGUGACGGCUAACUACGUG
This 471-nucleotide ribosomal RNA is filed under the name uncultured bacterium. Its description in RNAcentral is "bacterial SSU rRNA". It matches the Rfam family "Bacterial small subunit ribosomal RNA", at positions 26 to 507 of the family's 1533-position model. The record is from RNAcentral.